RNAcentral lists this ribosomal RNA (253 nucleotides) under uncultured bacterium. RNAcentral describes it as "partial 16S ribosomal RNA". It matches the Rfam family "Bacterial small subunit ribosomal RNA", at positions 524 to 776 of the family's 1533-position model. The record is from RNAcentral.
UACGAAGGGGGCUAGCGUUGUUCGGAAUUACUGGGCGUAAAGGGCGCGCAGGCGGCCCUCCAAGUCAGUGGUGAAAGCCCGGAGCUCAACUCCGGAAUUGCCAUUGAAACUGUUGGACUUGAGGAUGAGAGAGGUGAGUGGAAUUCCCAGUGUAGAGGUGAAAUUCGUAGAUAUUCGGAAGAACACCAGUGGCGAAGGCGACUUACUGGACACAUAUUGACGCUGAGGUGCGAAAGCGUGGGGAGCAAACAGG